RNAcentral lists this long non-coding RNA (11440 nucleotides) under Zea mays. RNAcentral describes it as "long non-coding RNA (ZMAY_LNC002413)". Lineage: Eukaryota; Viridiplantae; Streptophyta; Magnoliopsida; Poales; Poaceae. The record is from RNAcentral.
CCCACUCGGUCUCAUGGGCCUCGCUCCUGCUACCCAGCGUCGCGUUCUAGACCUCGACGCCGUCCGUCAUACGACCUUCCGCUUCCUCCGCCGAGCAUGCUCGUUCCUGACUUCCCUUCUGUGUAAAGGCUGGAAAGUUGUCCCGUGGGCUUAGCUUUCUCCCUCUACAUACCAUCCGCGUCCUCCGACUGGUCGUGCGUGGAGCUUCUACAACCUCAGGUGGCAUCUGGCUUCUGCGCAGGCCACAUCCCAUCCGCCCAUAAACAGGAAGGAAGACGUCGCCGCCUAGAUUCACCAAACGAACUGACCGACCUUUGUCUCGAUCCUCCUAUCAUGCUCCGACCAGCUCGUCUCCUCAGGUAUGUCUCCACUCCGCCUCUUUGUUUCGCUCCAUGCUCCAUCCGAGGAGCUCCUUCUCAGGAGAGGACUAUGAACGGGAGCCAAAGUGCCCCAGCUAGCGAGACAACGGCUUCACCAUAAGCCAGAACGUUCCAAGCUCCCGAUCAUCUCUCAUGGGAUGCAUGCCAUGUCAGCCCAACUGGUCCUGUCUCUCGCGACUGUAGAAAGGCAGCAACAUUUCCUUACUACUUAGUAUUUGCAAUAACUAUAUAUUUGUGGGGGGAAAUGUUUUUUAUGCUAUGAAUUUUAGGAUUCCAAUUUGUUGCUCACUUGCUCGUGUAUGAUCGUGUAUGAUGUACUGAUUAGUUGCUAGCUUCCCACUCGUGUAUCCACAUGAUUCAACUCCAUUUAGAUAUUCAUUAUGACGUGUGUGGCUGAGAUAUAUAUCUAUGUCCUAUUUUUUGUUCUUGAAAGUAGUAUCCACGUGUUCUAGUUUCUUGUUGGUAUCGAUGUCAUUUAACAAUAUGAGUUCAUUGUAGUACUAACAUUCUUUGGGAGCUUUACAUAGAUUGCGUCUGAACACCAUGUUAUAUGUGAUGUAUUGGAUCGUUAAACAAUACAGUAAAAACCUUACAUUUCAUACGGCCAAAGCCGUUGACAUAAGCCCUAAGCUGUCGGAAAUAGCUUAUUUCCGACGGCCGAAGGCUUAAUGUUCGACGGUACUUGUCCCUCGGUCGUAACGGGUCGAAAAUAAGCUUAUUUCCGACGACCGCCGUCGAAAAUAAGCUAUGUCUGAUGGACAAAAGGGGUCGUUGGCAUUUAACCGCGAUAACGGCUGAAACUGUCGUUGGUGGGACCCACGUCUCUUAUGUCCAACGCAUUAGCGGGAUCAUCGGAGAUAAGGCCCUAUUAUGUCUGACGGCCUCUGGGGAGGCGCCGGCGGCUGGGGCGAUGCGGGGUCAACGAAUGAAACUGAAAUGGUGCAGGCGGGCACGCGGCGCGACGGCUGCCUUGGGCCGUCAAAUAUAAUGUUAGAUCCGACAGCCGCCUAGGAGGUCAUCAGACGUAAUAUAGCCGUCGGAACUAUAUCGUUUUACUGUUGUGAAAAUCAGUUAGCACUUGUAUGCACCAUGCAUACAAGUGACUAGAUAACACACUUGGUUGACAGUUAACGACCCCGUCCACUUCGACGUAGGUCGCCGCCUCAAUGCCUCUCUUAUCGAGCUCUUCAUCCGCGAGUCUGAGGCCCUUAAGUCCAAGGUACUACAAUUCCUCUCCUCAUGUUCUUACUAGGAGAGUGCCCGUGCGUUGCAACGGGAACAUAUAAUACCAUGAUAACUUAUAUACAAGAUGUGUCUUAUAUUGUUAUAAGAAAAUGUUUCCUAAUCCAUUUGUGAUCCUGACCAUACAUAAAUUUUGUUAUUUAAUUUAGUUGUUUCACUACUACAUUGCAACCAUCAGUAUCAUGCAGACUUCAAUAUAUGCCACAAUUUGCAUGGUCUCAUCAUUGGAUAGCACGUGCCACACCUGCCGGUAGAAGUUCCCUCGUACAUCGUCAGUCAUCAGGCACGCACCACCAUUCACGCUUGCUUAAACAAAAAAGCAAGUAUGUGUGUUUGCGAAGAGAAUUAAAGACAUGCCGGCACAAAAGCUACCCCAACGAUGGUGAGUGGUCAUUGUUGUCGGUCCUCCUCUAUGUCAUCUCCGGCGCCGAGAUGACGUCACAGUCCUUGAAAUAGUAGUCGUCGAACGCGUGUGUCAUGGCGAGUACCGAUGAUUCUUGGAUGGGCUGCCAAACGAAGUGCACCCCGGUCUCAUCAGCGAGGUAGUACAUCUAGCCGUUGCACCACCGGAUGUGCUACUCCUCUACAUAUAUCUUGUUCGAGGACACUCACACAACGUCAGCAACGGUCGUCGUCCCAGCGUAUAAGAAUUCAUAGCCGGUCAGUAGCGACUUACGUGGCAGGUUGGGCUUCAGGUGGAUGAUGAGCUGGACGUCGUGAUGGCGCCAUCAUCGGAUGCGGUGCCUAGAACAACCUGAGAGUCGCCGGCGUUGGCGACGACCAUGAGGUCCCCCUGUUUGACGAUGGACAGCGCGGUGUAGCCGCUCUAGACCGCGUCCAUGCGACGGCUGCGCCGGAGCUUGCCAUACACAGCGGCGCAUACAGCCAUGUAGGACUGCUUCCAGAGGUCGAACUGGCAGUCGCCAAGCUUCUUCUCGUCGUCGAUGAGCGACGCCAACGCGAGCGCCUCCUGCUAGUGGUGUUUGUUCGGGGUUUCCAAGUAAGAAACAUGGAUUCAUAUUUGGCGUUGGUUUAUAAAAAUGACUCAUAAGUCAGAUCCAUGGAAAAAUAUUACAGAGAAUAAAUGUCACACAUGCAAAAAAGGAAUUUAAGUUGAAAACAUUAUUCAAAUAAAAAAGUUUGCAUGCAAGGCUCUUCUUUGAAUACUACUCCCUCCAUCCAAAAAUAUAAUUCAAGAAUCUCGGUGAUACUUAUCUACUACUACACAUUGUGCAAGGGUAGCAGGUGGGCUUCGGGAGAGAUGUAGUAGAUUUACUGUAAUAGAUGUAGACAUAAACACACAUGUGGUGUAAUGGUAGCUACGAGCACAUUUGCUUGAGGGGUCGUGGGUUAAAAUCCCCUUAAGGCCAUUUGUGUUUUUUUAAUUUAAGUUUAGCUAGACGUGGGAAUGAGAAUGGGUUUUGUGGGGAGGGGGAAUGAGAAAGACAGAAACAAGGAAUGAGAAUGAGAGAAUAGACAGAACGGGAAUGGUGACAGAACAUGAGAAUAGACUGUGCGGUGAGGGGGAAUGGGAAAAACAGAACAUGAAAUGGCAGCCUACUCCUUACUGCCUUAAUAAGUAUUAGAGAUUUCAGCUUUGGAAGUAUAAUUCACUUUUAGUUUUUUUCCAAACAGUAAAGAAGAAAAGUCAAUUGUCGAGCACCAUUUUUUCUUGCUAAUUAGUUGCUCGCGAUCUUUGUUACUAUCUGCAUGUGGUCGGCCAUCCAUCAAUAUGAGAGUACUUUCGUCAUAUAUAACUAUAUAUUUAAAUAAUAUAUUGUUGUCUUUUUUUUGCUUCGAUAUUGUAACUAUCAUGCCUACUAAUAUAUUUCAGAAAAGCAUUUUGAAAAUAAUGUAUAUUUGUGACUAGACAAAGUAGUUUUUUGGUUGGGAUUUGGAUACAGACCACUGUGCCAUAAAGCAUGCUUUAAUUCCUAAAAGCAAACUAUCUUUGCACUGCAACUGCCAUUAGCGUCAAGCAACACGAAUUACCUGAACUAUGACAAAAGAUAUGAAGUGAGUGCUGAGUUGCUGCUCAACUUUUUCAUAGGCCAGAAGGUACCAAAGCCUACAAAGGAUUCCAUUUUUCAGUUACAGAGUUCCUUUCACUUUGGGACCUCCAAACAACUUCAUAAGUGUAAGCAUCCUAGAGCCAUUAGCCAUGAACAAUUAUUUUUUUAUGGAAAAGGCAAGAGCUCUGCUGCUUAAUUAAGUGAGAAAAAAGAGGUUUAUUUACAAAUGGGGUUGAUUUAUGGUUUUUUGCACAUGACAAGUUUUUGUUGGGUCUGACUUAUUCUAUCUAUAUAUCUAUGGAAGCCUGUUAGAUGCCAAUGUAACUUUUUUAGUUUGGACAAACAGAUGCUCUUGCGAUUUGUACCUGAUACGGUUGGUUGGCAUAAUUGAGUGCCGCUUUGAUGUAGUCGUUAGGUCUCAGUUGUAACCUGCAUCAAUUCUAAUGUAAUUCACAUCAUGAACCGCUUAUGUUGAACUAAUUUUUGGUGCUCAUAAUUUAUCAUGGAAGUUACUUUUUGAGGCUACUUGCAGUGGCUUUUUAAUUUUUUUAUUAUUAUUAUUAUUAUUAUUAUUAUUAUUAUUACUUGACAUUACGAUAUUUUUAUAUAUCGGUGAGGUGCAUGUCGAAGGACUGGAAACAACUUGAAGGCAAAUGAGCGUUUCACGGAGCAAGGAUGUGACGGAACCUCCUAAGUCAUUAGGCCCACCUACAGUUCUCCUUGUCCAAUGGACCUUGGGCAACUGUAACACCCACUUUGUAAGAAAGGUCUAGAAAGAGAAAUUAUAUUACUUUAUAACUAUAUGAGUUAUCUAUGUUUCUCAUUUCAUGUGAACACCAUAAUUAAACAAAUAAAUAAAUGACAAGAGAUACCCAACAAAACUUGCCUCAUGUUGAGUUUUUACUUGAUUGUGCAUUAGUGGUUAAUAAACUAAAUGUGUCAUUAAUAGCAUACCAAUGGAUCCGUAGAAUUUAAACUCUAACUUGAAAAUAAAACCAUGAAAACAGAGGAGAGAAAGGAAUAUUGUUCAAUACAAAUAAAAUUAUAAUUUAAUAACUUCAUCAUAGUUGGUAUGAUCAAAAUAAAUAAUUAACCAGUGUACAAAGUGCCACAAAGUUUGAAUUUGAAUUAAUGUUUGAAAUUGGAAAGAAGGGAAAAGACAAAAGAAAAGAAAGUAAAAGAAAAAAAAAGAGAAAACCUUGUUGGGCCCUUAACCUCAAUUCAGCCCAUCAUCAUUUUACUCCCGCGCGUAGCCCACUCUACUCGCCGGUACCGACACAUGGGGCCCCCAGGCAAUCACCCACUCACCGCGCACCCUCAAAGCCGCUGCGUCGGCAGGUAGGCCCGCCUGGUCAGCCGCACCCGAGGGAUUUGGACACGCUCAUCCCACUGUGUGUUGGGGCCCGCGUGUCAUCCCUACCGUAGACGCGACAACCACUCGAGCGCACAGCGCAGAACUUCUCCCCCUUCUCUCGGAGCUGCCGAUCCACACCUCCGAGUCCGUAGGUUUGAGGCAAUAAAUACAGACCUCGCCCAAUUCUUCCCCGUGCUUCCACCGCUAACCCUCGCCGAACCGCCGCUCGUAAUUGAGAGAAAGAAGGAGUCACCGGCAACAGGAAAGAGAAGGUCCGCCGCCGCUGCUUGAUUCGUACAGACGCCGCGCGUGUGGUUCUGCACCUGGGCGGGAGGUAUCUCCGUGUUUCUGUGGAGCUUCCGUGUACCUCGCGGAGGCAGUGCUCCACUGUGUGACCCUUAAUUCCUCACCGGAAUCACUGGUCCGUCGCUGAACAGACGUCGCCGUGGACUUCACCACUGCACCCUCGGAAUGCCGGUAAGAACCUCCUCUGGUUGUUCGCAUCGCUAUACACAUGGCAGGGACAUAUGCAAUUUAGGAAGUAGGGGCUAGGGGCGUGUGUUGGGGAAGCUCGUCGGCGUUCCCCGCCGCGGUGGCCGCUUUCUUCGGUGGCCGCGGGAAGGAGGUAGGAGAUGUAGUGGCCACCGUCCUUGGUUUGAUGGGCGGUGCAGAUCAAUCCAGGAAGUAACCUUUCGCAGGGGCGAUCUGGUCCGUUAGAUCAUAAAUGGACAGCCGCAAUGUGAUCCUAACGUUUUAAAUCCAAACCGUCGAUGCCCGAUCUCGUGGCUGUGGUUGCGUACCGGUUCGCGGUGGGACGUAUCUAAUCCGGACCGUCCGCUGUUGAUCUCGCGGCCGAAAACCACUGAUACCCCUUCACGUUGGCCUUUUUGCUAAAGAAACCCUUUACUUUUCAAGAAUAGAACCCGCAGUCCAGUGUAUAGUGUUCUGGGUCUAGGAUUUAAUUGCGCAGGGGUCCCUGCCUUUCUCAGUAUUGGUGCGCCCAGUCCAGAGCUGUUUAAAAUGGAAUAAUUGAAUUGGAAAACAGGUUUUUAAUACAAAAAUAUAUGCUAGAACUUUAAUAAUUCAUAGAGAAUUCAUAUGAAGUCCAAAUUUACCCAUUCUAGUUUCUAAAAUUUUGUAAUAUUAUUAUUUAUCACUUAGAGUAUCGUUUUUGACAUUAAAACAGUCAAAAAAUUUAAAUCUCAUUUAAUCAUAUUCCAAGCAUAUAAAACCUUUGAAAAUUCAUAACUUAAAAUCUAUAACUCCAAAAAAUUAUGAUUUCUGUUCCUAGGUUUUUAUUUUUAUGUAUAGAUUAUUACUGUGUAUUUUGUUUAUAUGUUUGGUGUGAUGUUAAUUUUCUCUAUGUAUUGUGCUUGUUUGUAUUGUGGCGAGUAGAAGAAUUUGUGUCUGAGGAUCCUGGUGAGCAGGAGAUAGAAGUAGCUGAGCAAGAGCUCAUUGAAGGCAAGUUGUGCCAUUGACCACUUUUUACCCAAUAAUGUUCUUAAUGUCACUUAUUCAUGCAUAGGUUAAUUUUGAUGGGACCCGAUAGGUUGCCCUGGAUUGUUUAUCUCAUUACCUUAUUUACCUCUGAAUCACUUGGGUAGUUUGCUAAUGCUUUACAUGGUUUUGGGAUAAUCAUUUAUUAUGUCUAUGUUCCAAUUCUUUUGUUAUUCUAUUUAUGUUCAUGUCAAGAUCAUUAAUGUUAAUUGGAACAUAGAGCUUAACUUGAGUAACACGUGCCACCACAAGGGAUUAAUGGAACGCCCUUGGCUGACUAAUUAGGAAAGCUAGUGGAAGAUUACCUUACCCGAAAGGGGCAAGGGCAGUAGGGGAGUUGCUUGCAAGGAGGUUCUCGGGUUGAUUUAGCUGCGAUGGCGGUCAGACGGGGGAUUCUUGCAAGUGCUCUUCCCAUAAACUGUAGCGGGUUUUCGAAAGCUAGUGGAACUUUAUAAAGGCCUCGUAGUGUUGCCCUGCCUCGCCUCCUAAGUAGAGGUGUAUGGGAGUCGUGACCCCUUGGCAGAUGGGUAACAUGACUUGUGGGUAAAGGGUACAACCUCUGUAGAGUGUAAAACUGGUAUACUAGCCGAGCUCACGGUCAUGAGCAGCUCAGGACUCUCUGAUGAUUAAAUUAUGGAACUUAAAUUCAAUUUUGUCAUUUGCAUUGCAUGGGUUUAUUAUUAAUUUUGUUCGAUUACUUUAUUUAAGGUUUGGUAUUUACUUACACUUAGUAACUGCUAAUAAAAUUUUGACCAACUACUUAAAAGCAAUGCUCAGCUCUAACCCCUGUCAUUGAUUAGCCUUACACAUCACAUGAACUCCCACCUUUGUGAGUUCAUGUCCACUGGUUCCCCACAACUUGUUGAGCUAUGAUCAUGUGUGAGCUCACCCUUGUUGUCUCACACCCCCCAUAGGAGAAGAACAGGUGGUUCAGGAGGAGCCACAAGGUGAGGAGUUUGAUCUGAUCUAGGUGGCGUUUCUGAGUUGGCAUUGGUACCAAUGACGAUCCUUAGUUCAUUUUUAUCUUCUAUUUUGUAAUAAGACUUCUGCUAUGUAUUAAAUACUCUGAUGUUAUUGUGACAUUUUUCUCUAUACACUUUGUUAUUAUAUAUGUUGUCUUCUUGGCGCAUGUAUGAGAUGCACCUGGCUUUGUUCCUUAAAGUCGGGUGUGACAGAAGUGGUAUCAGAGGAAAUGUUGACUAUAGGACGAAGCCUAGAUAGAAAUAGACAAACCCUUACCUACUUAUCUUACACUGAUUCAUUCUAUACUUAUCUCACUAUGAUUCUUUCUAUACUUGUCUUUCUCCUGUCUCACCUUUUGUUGUUCUACUCUGAUUACUCUUAUCUUUUCUACUUCAAGACAUGAUGGAUUUCACACCUUGGAAUCCUACAUUUAUGAACUUUUUAAGAGAUAGGAGACAUAAGACAAAAAAUAAAACUAUUUUCUCUAUUAAAAAAAUGUUGGUUGAUUGUUCUGAUGAUAAAUGCUUGAUUUGCUUCUUUGAUUGAUUGAAACAUUAUAGUUGGGCAUCUUAGCAUGUACCACCAUAAGGUAAUGUAUUAGCUUUAGGGGAUAACACACUAAUCUACUUAGCUAUUAAAUCCUUCAAAGUAACAUGCCUUGUAAUUACAUGCCUUGUCUACAAUCCUUUCUUUCGUACCAUGUGUUUCUAACCCAGAUGGGCUACCCCUAUAGUGUUAGAAGAGAGCACUAUAGACGUGAUCCUUGGUAUGUCAUGGUUAAGAAAGGCAAAGACAAUUUAUACACUAUGCUGAAGGAACCGUAGAACUCACCAGUUCCAAAGGACAAAGAUUUGAAGUUGGAGUUGCAGUAACUACCACCAUCAGACUAGCGACAUUCUUAGUAGAUGAGAAGUUGGUGGGUGACAACAUCCGUGCAGUUAGGGAUUUUUCGGAUAUCUUUCCAGAGGAGUUAUUAGGGAUGCCACCAUAAGGGAAGUUGAGUUUGUCAUUGAUCCCUUACCUGGGCUGCCCCUACUUUCAAACGGCCAUACAGGAUAUCUGUAGAAGAGUUAAAGGGACUGAAGAAGCAGUUAACGGAAUUACAAGAGGCUGGGUACAUUCGUUCGAGUUCUUCACCUUGUGGAGCACCAGUUCUAUUUGUACAGAAGAAAGAUGGAUCGCAAGGGAUGUGCGUAGAUUAUAGAUCACUUAAUGAUGUUACUGUGAAGAACAAGUAUCUGUUACCCCGUAUUGAGGAUUUAUUUGAUCAGAUGAGAGUUGCUAGGGUAUUCUCGAAGAUUGAUCUCUGAUCCGGUUACCAUCAGAUGAGGAUUAGACCAUCGGAUAUCCCCAAGACAACAUUCUCGACCCGAUAUGGAUUAUAUGAGUUCACUGUUAUGUCAUUUGGACUAACUAAGGCACCAGCUUAUUUUAUGAAUUUGAUGAACAAGGUGUUUAUGGAGUAUUUGGACAGAUUCGUCAUGGUAUUCAUCGAUGAUAUUCUUAUUAUUCCAAGAGUGAUAGUGAUCACGAGGAACAUCUGAGAUUGGUGCUACAGAAGCUACGGGAUAACCAACUAUAUGCCAAGUUUAGCAGGUGCGAGUUUUGGAUUGGCGAGGUGCCAUUUCUUGGUCAUAUUAUUUCUAAUGGAGGAAUAUCAGUGGAUCCUGCUAAGGUUAAGGAGAUAAUGGAGUGGAGAGUACCCACUACAGUUACUGAGAUUCGGAGUUUCUUGGGACUAGCAGGAUAUUAUCGGAGAUUUAUUGAAGGAUUUUCUAAGAUUGCUAAGCCUAUGGCCUCGCUUCUGGAGAAGGACAGAGAAUUUAAGUGGGACGAGAAGUGCCAAGAUAGUUUUGAUCAAUUAAAGAAGAGAUUGAUGUCGCCACCAGUGUUGGUUAUGCCAGACCUACAGAAGGGAUUUGAUAUUUAUUGUGAUGCAUGUGGCCAAGGCUUGGGAUGUGUACUCAUGCAAGAAGAACAUGUGAUUGCCUAUGCUUCUCGUUAGUUACGGAGACAUGAAUUGAACUACCCCACCCAUGGCUUAGAAUUGGCAGCCGUUGUGCAUGCACUUAAGAUUUGGAGACAUUACAUUAUGGGAACCAAGUGCCAAGUGUACACGGAUCAUAAGAGUUUGAAGUAUAUAUUCACUCAGAAGGAUCUCAACCUUAGGCAACACCGUUGGUUGGAGCUUAUUAAAGAUUAUGAUUUGGAGAUACACUAUCACCCGGGCAAGGCAAAUUUGGUUGCAGAUGCCUUGAGCGCAAGGAGGAUGUUCAUUCAACUAUUGUUGCCCAGCUACCUGAGGAGAUUGUUGAGGAUUUCAGGAGACUUAACCUGGGGAUAGUUGCUCACACUGAAGGAGUUACUAUUGAUGUGGAGCCUACUUUGGAGCAAGAAAUCCGCAAAGGACAAAUUGGUGAUGCUAAGAUACAAGAGAUUAAGGGUCUGAUUACUGAAGGUCGAGGUCCGGAAUUCACGGAAGAUGAGCAAGGCACUGUGUGGUUCAAGGACAGGAUAUGUGUUCCUGAUAUUGAAAGCCUUCGUGAGACUAUUCUAAAGGAGGCCCAUGACUCGGAUUAUUCUAUUCAUCCUGGUAGUACCAAGAUGUAUCAGGAUUUGAAAAGGAAGUAUUGGUGGUAUGGAUUGAAGAGAGAUGUGGCUACAUGUGGUUAAGUGUGAUGUGUGUCAAAGAGUGAAGGCUGAACACCAGAGGCCAGCUGGACUAUUGCAUCCACUGAAGAUACCCGAGUGGAAGUGGGAAGAGAUUGGUAAGGACUUCAUUACUGGAUUGCCUCGCACCUCGAAAGGAUGUGAUUCUAUAUGGGUUAUUGUGGAUAGACUGACCAAAGUGGCUCAUUUCAUUCCGGUCAAGACUACUUAUAAGGGAUCUCAAUUGGUAGAGUUAUAUAUGACUCGUAUUGUGUGCUUACAUGUAGUACCAAAGAAGAUCGUUUUGGAUAAGAGGAUCACAGUUUACCCCCAGAUUUUGGAAAAGUUUUCAUGAGAAUAUGGAUACGAGGUUGAAUUUUAGUUCGGCCUAUCAUCCUCAGACUGAUGGACAGACUAAAAAGGACUAAUCAAGUAUUGGAGGACAUGUUGAGAGCUUGUGCCCUUCAGCAUGGUAGUAGUUGGGACAAGAGUCUACCUUAUACUGAGUUCUCAUAUAAUAAUAGUUACCAGUCCAGUCUGAAGAUAUCACCGUUCGAGACUCUGUAUAGCAGGAAAUGCAGGACUCCUCUAUAUUGGAUCAGACUAGGGGAAGAUAGUUCUUUGGACCUGAACUGAUUCAAGAAGCAGAAGAGCAAGUCCGUAUAAUUCGAGAGAAUUUGAGGGUAGCUCAAACCAGACAAAAGAGCUAUGCUGAUAAUAGGAGACCACUGAAAUUUGAGGAAGGAGAUUAUGUGUACCUCAAGGUGUCACCACUUCGUGGAAUGAGGAGAUUCAAAGUUAAGGGCAAAUUGUCCCCUCGCUAUAUUGGACCAUUCUUGAUCUUUAGGCGAGUUAGGGAGAUGGCAUACCAACUCGAGCUACCUGCUAGCCUAUCAGAUGUGCAUAAUGUGUUCCACGUGUCUCAACUUAAGAAGUGUCUCCGUGUCCCCGAGGAACAGUUACCAAUGGAAGAGCUAAGUGUUCAGGGUGAUUUGACUUACACGGAGUACCCGAUCAAGAUUCUUGACACAUUGACUCGAGUUACAAGGAAUAAGGUGAUAAAGAUGUGUAAAGUGCAAUGGAGUCACCACGGACAAGAUUAAGCUACAUGGGAGAGAGAAGAAGAGCUUCGCAUAGAUUUUCCUCACCUUUUCCCUAGAUCUUCUUAAAUCUCGAGGACGAGAUUAUUUUUAAGGGGGGUAGGAUUUGUAACACCCACUUUGUAAGAAAGGUCUAGAAAGAGAAAUUAUAUUACUUUAUAACUAUAUGAGUUAUCUAUGUUUCUCAUUUCAUGUGAACACCAUAAUUAAACAAAUAAAUAAAUGACAAGAGAUACCCAACAA